CCUGAUAUUUACCUCCUGAUUUAAAUCGGAGUAAACCAAAGUUUUACGCCCGAUCCAACCCGAUCCAACUACGAUUAGGUUGAAUCAGGUUCAGUUCAACCCGAUUACUUGCGAAUUAUUGAAGCAAAAUAUAACCCGAAUUUACCCCUCCCGCCGAGUUUCUGGAAAAUAUGACCGAAAAAACUCUGGCCCUAUACAUGAACAAUGAAAAGACUUUUUAGAGGGUGUACAAUGUGUAUUAAAAGCGAUAGAAAACCCCAGUGCAAGGGGAGAACAAGAAGGACGACAGACAGACAACACAGCACUGUACUACCACCCAAAAACUUUUAUUCCUGAAACAUCCCCCGUUUUUAUAGUACAGCAACCCUCUACCCUUCCCUCUCCUGUCGAACAAUCCAGAACCGCCGAGCAGCACUUAGGUCACGAGAAAAUUCAUCACCUUAUUGGAAAAGAACAGAGGGGUUACUGAUACAACUCAACCACACUUUUCUUAUCUCUACGGCCUCUCUGUACAACAAACAACCAGAUUUGCUACUCUUAAAAAUGUUAGUAAAGAAUGCUACGCACCCAACACAUGUGGCUAAAUGUUCCCCCGAAGUACUAUACUUGAUUAGAUAUGUUCGAAUGAUGUUCUUUUAAUCUUGUAUUAACACGCCGGGAAGUCUCACACUAUACACACCCAAUUUGACAGUUCACAAAUUUAUUGCCAUGCUUAAUGUGACACCCUUUUCUAACAUCCUGAUUGACUUGACUGAUCAAAGAAUCCAACCGAUAGCCUCUUUGAAAAACUACCUCAAUACCAUACAGUUUUGAAUAUAUUUUUUAACCUGUUUGAGGCUGUGUGCGCAUAAUCUGUGACCCCGAAUUUUUUUGGUUCUUCCCUUCCGGCUUUCAAUUGCGCUCCAGAUUUCACACGUUUCAAAACCCUGCCUACAACAUCGUAUAUGACCCCGCCCGGAUUCUAACUUUUUUCUGUAUAAUGCGUAUUUCGUUGCACUCUUAGAUCAUCCAUAACAACUUCAAAGGACUCAAAUCUAUUUCCAUUUUAAAGGUUAUAAGCCUAAGAAUUCUACAGCCUUAUUUUUUAUGUUCUAUCCAAUCUGUGUGCAUAUAGGAACCUGCACACUUUUUUUUGUUUUGCAGCUGCCGUCAAGACUUCACAGAAGUGCAGCGAACACUCAGUUGAAAGUGUAGUCAAAGACUGGCUCCGCCAUGCACCCGCAAGAAGUCGGGACACAGCCAAGAGCUCUUCGGCUCACCAAAGGGCUCACAGAGGAGUGAACUAAAGUUAUCCGCCAUGCCGCCACAGACAACGGUACUCGACUGUGCACUACUACCGUACCCCAGCUCUGAUGCUCUUUUUUAGCAUUUUUCGCUGUGGGACAUUUUUGCUGUUUGCCCAGUAUUUUUUGGAUAUCCUCUGUGCUGGUAACUGCUGCUCCUAGGAACCCUACACUCAGAACCAAGCUAGUCUUUAGUGAAAAUGUUUUAUAAUGUUUUUAUAUACACAUUAUCUCCAACCCACACAAACAAAGGAGUACAAAGUGAUGUACUACAUUUUAAAUAUAUGUGCAAUUAUAUAUACA
This is a long non-coding RNA of Ornithodoros turicata, 1586 nucleotides long. RefSeq lists it as uncharacterized. The record is from RefSeq and is a predicted model, not a curated record. Lineage: Eukaryota; Metazoa; Arthropoda; Arachnida; Ixodida; Argasidae. The transcript is spliced from 2 exons.